This 164-nucleotide ribosomal RNA is filed under the name Aconitum napellus. Its description in RNAcentral is "5.8S ribosomal RNA". It matches the Rfam family "5.8S ribosomal RNA". Rfam says of the family: 5.8S ribosomal RNA (5.8S rRNA) is a component of the large subunit of the eukaryotic ribosome. It is transcribed by RNA polymerase I as part of the 45S precursor that also contains 18S and 28S rRNA. The record is from RNAcentral. Lineage: Eukaryota; Viridiplantae; Streptophyta; Magnoliopsida; Ranunculales; Ranunculaceae.
CAAACGACUCUCGGCAACGGAUAUCUCGGCUCUUGCAUCGAUGAAGAACGUAKCGAAAUGCGAUACUUGGUGUGAAUUGCAGAAUCCCGUGAACCAUCGAGUCUUUGAACGCAAGUUGCGCCCGAGGCCAUUAGGUCGAGGGCACGUCUGCCUGGGCGUCACAC